RNAcentral lists this ribosomal RNA (432 nucleotides) under uncultured bacterium. RNAcentral describes it as "partial 16S ribosomal RNA". It matches the Rfam family "Bacterial small subunit ribosomal RNA", at positions 29 to 506 of the family's 1533-position model. The record is from RNAcentral.
AACGAACGCUGGCGGCAUGCCUAACACAUGCAAGUCGAACGAGACCUUCGGGUCUAGUGGCGCACGGGUGCGUAACGCGUGGGAACCUGCCCUUAGGUUCGGAAUAACUCCCCGAAAGGGGUGCUAAUACCGGAUAAUGUCUUCGGACCAAAGAUUUAUCGCCUUUGGAUGGGCCCGCGUUGGAUUAGCUAGUUGGUAGGGUAAAAGCCUACCAAGGCGACGAUCCAUAGCUGGUCUGAGAGGAUGAUCAGCCACACUGGGACUGAGACACGGCCCAGACCCCAACGGGGGGCGGGAGUGGGGAAUUGUGGACAUGGGGCGAAAGCCUGACCCACCAAUGCCCGGGGAGGUAAGAAGGCCUUAGGGUUUAAAAGCUCUUUUCCCCGGGAUGAAAAUGACAGGCCCGGGAAAAGAAGCCCCGGCUAACCCCGG